RNAcentral lists this ribosomal RNA (499 nucleotides) under uncultured bacterium. RNAcentral's name for it is "bacterial SSU rRNA". It matches the Rfam family "Bacterial small subunit ribosomal RNA", at positions 29 to 521 of the family's 1533-position model. The record is from RNAcentral.
AUUGAACGCUGGCGGCGUGCCUAACACAUGCAAGUCGAGCGGUAACAGGUGUAGCAAUACAUGCUGACGAGCGGCGGACGGGUGAGUAACGCUUGGGAAUCUGCCUAUUAGUGGGGGACAACCCGGGGAAACUCGGGCUAAUACCGCAUACGCUCUACGGAGGAAAGCCGGGGACCGCAAGGCCUGGCGCUAAUAGAUGAGCCCAAGUCGGAUUAGCUAGUUGGUAGGGUAAUGGCCUACCAAGGCGACGAUCCGUAACUGGUCUGAGAGGACGACCAGUCACACCGGAACUGAGACACGGUCCGGACUCCUACGGGAGGCAGCAGUGGGGAAUAUUGGACAAUGGGCGAAAGCCUGAUCCAGCGACGCCGCGUGGGUGAAGAAGGCCUGCGGGUUGUAAAGCCCUUUCAGUGGGGAAGAAAGCCUCGACCUAACACGUCGGGGUCUUGACGUAACCCAUAGAAGAAGCACCGGCUAACUCUGUGCCAGCCGCCGCAGU